GAAAUGCAGAAGUGCAGCCAGUUGCGAAAUCACAGCGACUUGCUCAAUUUGCAGUGUGCGAUCUUCUCCUGCAGGGCUCCAACCUGAAUAUGCCAUCGGCGAGGGCAGCAGAUUCCCUGGCCAGGCUGUGGAAGGGGAAAUCAUUUGGAUCUGUUUAAAAGGGGAAAGAAUUAAGAGAGCUGACAUUUCCGGAAGAAACAACGUUCAGGCAUGCAACUGGAAUUUAAAUGAGAAUCUGCUUGCGAUGCUGACAGCAGGAGCCUUGCAGACUCAAACCUCAGGACGCACAGAAAGGACCAGAGCUCCGACUCCUGGGGUCAGCGGUGUUGGAUUUUAUUUGCACUUUUCUGGGUUUAAAUAUUUUGAAAAUUUUUUUAAAAAGCGUUUUUCUCUUC
RNAcentral lists this long non-coding RNA (395 nucleotides) under Pongo abelii (Sumatran orangutan). RNAcentral's name for it is "lincRNA". The record is from RNAcentral. Lineage: Eukaryota; Metazoa; Chordata; Mammalia; Primates; Hominidae.